This is a non-coding RNA of Populus trichocarpa (black cottonwood), 145 nucleotides long. The record is from Rfam. NCBI's taxonomy places the organism in Eukaryota, Viridiplantae, Streptophyta, Magnoliopsida, Malpighiales, Salicaceae.
UAAUCUAUCUAGGACAAAUCCUCAUCUAGUUAUGGCAGACCCUCACCUGGCUGUCUAGAAUCACCCAUUAUCGCAAGCCCAACUACAUCAUAGGGCAAUCAAGGCUUGAUGAACAAACUUUAAAGCUGUCAUUGUCGAGUAGUUU